AGAUUGAACGCUAGCGGGAUGCUUUACACAUGCAAGUCGAACGGCAGCGCGGACUUCGGUCUGGCGGCGAGUGGCGAACGGGUGAGUAAUAUAUCGGAACGUGCCCAGUAGCGGGGGAUAACUACGCGAAAGCGUGGCUAAUACCGCAUACGCCCUACGGGGGAAAGGGGGGGAUCGCAAGACCUCUCACUAUUGGAGCGGCCGAUAUCAGAUUAGCUAGUUGGUGAGGUAAAGGCUCACCAAGGCGACGAUCUGUAGCUGGUUUGAGAGGACGACCAGCCACACUGGGACUGAGACACGGCCCAGACUCCUACGGGAGGCAGCAGUGGGAAUUUGGACAAUGGGGGAAACCCUGAUCCAGCCAUCCCGCGUGUGCGAUGAAGGCCUUCGGGUUGUAACCUCUUUAGUAGGAAGUAAGCGAAAGUGACGGUACCUGACAGAAAAGCGACCGGCUAACUACGUGCCAAGCAGCCGC
RNAcentral lists this ribosomal RNA (475 nucleotides) under uncultured soil bacterium. Its description in RNAcentral is "bacterial SSU rRNA". It matches the Rfam family "Bacterial small subunit ribosomal RNA", at positions 26 to 518 of the family's 1533-position model. The record is from RNAcentral.